This 713-nucleotide ribosomal RNA is filed under the name Vibrio sp. CUA-833. Its description in RNAcentral is "bacterial SSU rRNA". It matches the Rfam family "Bacterial small subunit ribosomal RNA", at positions 67 to 773 of the family's 1533-position model. The record is from RNAcentral. Lineage: Bacteria; Pseudomonadati; Pseudomonadota; Gammaproteobacteria; Vibrionales; Vibrionaceae.
CUGAACCUUCGGGGAACGUUAAGGGCGUCGAGCGGCGGACGGGUGAGUAAUGCCUGGGAAUAUGCCUUGAUGUGGGGGAUAACCAUUGGAAACGAUGGCUAAUACCGCAUAAUCUCUUCGGAGCAAAGAGGGGGACCUUCGGGCCUCUCGCGUCAAGAUUAGCCCAGGUGGGAUUAGCUAGUUGGUGAGGUAAUGGCUCACCAAGGCGACGAUCCCUAGCUGGUCUGAGAGGAUGAUCAGCCACACUGGAACUGAGACACGGUCCAGACUCCUACGGGAGGCAGCAGUGGGGAAUAUUGCACAAUGGGCGCAAGCCUGAUGCAGCCAUGCCGCGUGUGUGAAGAAGGCCUUCGGGUUGUAAAGCACUUUCAGUCGUGAGGAAGGUGGUGUAGUUAAUAGCUGCAUUAUUUGACGUUAGCGACAGAAGAAGCACCGGCUAACUCCGUGCCAGCAGCCGCGGUAAUACGGAGGGUGCGAGCGUUAAUCGGAAUUACUGGGCGUAAAGCGCAUGCAGGUGGUUUGUUAAGUCAGAUGUGAAAGCCCGGGGCUCAACCUCGGAACCGCAUUUGAAACUGGCAGGCUAGAGUACUGUAGAGGGGGGUAGAAUUUCAGGUGUAGCGGUGAAAUGCGUAGAGAUCUGAAGGAAUACCGGUGGCGAAGGCGGCCCCCUGGACAGAUACUGACACUCAGAUGCGAAAGCGUGGGGAGCAAAC